This 535-nucleotide ribosomal RNA is filed under the name Fusarium napiforme. Its description in RNAcentral is "eukaryotic LSU rRNA". It matches the Rfam family "Eukaryotic large subunit ribosomal RNA", at positions 66 to 624 of the family's 3401-position model. The record is from RNAcentral. Lineage: Eukaryota; Fungi; Ascomycota; Sordariomycetes; Hypocreales; Nectriaceae.
CAACAGGGAUUGCCCUAGUAACGGCGAGUGAAGCGGCAACAGCUCAAAUUUGAAAUCUGGCUCUCGGGCCCGAGUUGUAAUUUGUAGAGGAUACUUUUGAUGCGGUGCCUUCCGAGUUCCCUGGAACGGGACGCCAUAGAGGGUGAGAGCCCCGUCUGGUUGGAUGCCAAAUCUCUGUAAAGUUCCUUCGACGAGUCGAGUAGUUUGGGAAUGCUGCUCUAAAUGGGAGGUAUAUGUCUUCUAAAGCUAAAUACCGGCCAGAGACCGAUAGCGCACAAGUAGAGUGAUCGAAAGAUGAAAAGCACUUUGAAAAGAGAGUUAAAAAGUACGUGAAAUUGUUGAAAGGGAAGCGUUUAUGACCAGACUUGGGCUUGGUUAAUCAUCUGGGGUUCUCCCCAGUGCACUUUUCCAGUCCAGGCCAGCAUCAGUUUUUGCCGGGGGAUAAAGACUUCGGGAAUGUGGCUCUCUUCGGGGAGUGUUAUAGCCCGUUGUGUAAUACCCUGGCGGGGACUGAGGUUCGCGCAUCUGCAAGGAU